CAAGAACUUCCCACCUUGCUCUUGGGGAGACUCGAACUCACAACCUCUCGGUUGGAAGUGGGAGUUGCUUACCAUCAGAGCAACCCCUCUUGUCUGAUAGCAUUCUAAUACAACUACUCCAUUUCAUGAUUGCUCAUUUAACCUUGCAAGCUGCAACACACAUUCCCGCGCAGGAGAGAAAGUACCUCCACAAGCUCUGUAGAAAAUCUUAGUUUUCUUUGUUGUUGCUCUAGUUAUUUAUAAUAUUUUUUAUACUAAUAAAGCUAGAAAAGUAAUCAAUGAGCAAACGAAUAACAUAACUACUGGCAGAUAGUUUCCAACUUCAACCCAUCAAAUUAAGUCAAUCUUCAUAAUAUGGAAGGAUAGUAAGCUACAUGUUUAAAAAUAUGCUUAUCCAAGGUUCUUCCAUUAUUUAGUUAAAACUCAUCCAUCUCAGACGAAAUCCUAUAACAGGUAGCAAAUCAAAACUUGCAACCAACCUGAAUUUGCUCAAGGUUCUUCCGUUAUUUAGUUAAAACUCAUCCAUCUCAGACGAAAUCCUAUAACAGGUAGCAAAUCAAAACUUGCAACCAACCUGAAUUUGCUGGAUACCAGUCAGAUCUUUGCAGAAAUCACUCAAUAUUUGAUUGCA
Molecule: long non-coding RNA, 631 nt
Filed under: Nicotiana benthamiana
Lineage: Eukaryota; Viridiplantae; Streptophyta; Magnoliopsida; Solanales; Solanaceae
Description: long non-coding RNA (NBEN_LNC032939)
Source: RNAcentral